GAGAAAGCCUUCUUUCUUAAACAAAGUUUUUCUUUAAAGUUCUCUUUUCUCUUUUCAAGCUUGCUAUCUUUAGUUGAAUUCUCCAAUCUUAGUUAUGAUCUUGGGCUAGCAGAAAAUUCGUGAAUAAUACCUUUCUUCUGCUAUUCUUUACAUCACAUACCGAAUAAAUUCAAUGAAUAGUGAUUAACCUUAUCUCUAUUUCAAUUUUCAAAUGAAGAAUGAAGAUUGCACUUCCGGUUGAAGCCUAACGAAGGGGGUAAUACUUAAUAGAAUAGAUGAGAUUUCUCUAUCUUUGAAUAAAUAUUUUGGUGCCGAGUCUUGAAAAUAAAGAAAUUUAAUUUCUGGUAAAAAGCAUUUUUCUCUUUAAAUAGAUCCUACACAUCACAAAUCUAAAUUAGUUGGAUAAGUAAUGUGUUCUAGAUCCCAAAAAAUUACUCGCCAUUGAAUUCCGAGCACAACCAAUUCAACAUUCACAGACUUAUGUUUCUCAAAGUUCUCCGUAUUAUUUGCAUAAAUUGUUAGUAUAUGCCAUUUGCAUCACGAUAUUGAUUAGUCCCUUCGUUUUAAUUUAUGUAAAUUUAUUUAACUUAGUAUGAGGUUAAAAAAAUAAAAUUUGUUAGAAUUUAUGAUCUUAAACAAGUCAAAAAGGAGGUAUAGAGUAUUCGUAUGAUUAUAAAAACUUCUCAUUAAAUGUAGAAUUGAAAGUUUAAGCUAAAUUGUUUUCAAAUUUUAAAAAAAAUUAUUUUUUAGAAAAAAAAAUAAGUUCACAUAAACUAAAACGGGGGGAGUAUAAAUUUGCAUUUUAUUUUAUGAGAGUAAUAUAAUUCAAAUGUGUAGUGUUUAACACGUCUUAGGAGGUGUUAAAGAAGGUGGACCUUAGUUUGAGCUGAUGCAUACCUAAUUUGCAAAUAUACAACAGAAGCGUCCAAUUUUACUUCUUUUGUCCAAAAUUUAGUUCUCAACGUAUCUUAGUUUUACUCUUUAUUAUACUAUAAGCUAUUCGAUCUUAUUCGUGUUAUUGUUGGUAUUAUUAAUAAAUAAUAAUGUAAAGUUAAAGAUUUGUCCCUUUUCUUUUUCACUUCUUUGUUUUUUUAUGCAAAACAAGGUGUUAUCAUCGGUUGUUGAUGUUUAGGUUAAAUUAUAUAUAUUUUUAUGUAUAUCGCUUCAUAUUUUAGUUUUUGUUUUGUGAAUUUGGGAUAUUAAAUGUUAUGAUUUAUAUUAAUUUGAAGUAUUUUUAUGUGUAGAAAUGAUUCGGGAGAAAUUGGGAGCGAAACACGCAAGAUUUGAGCCAAAACGAACGAGACCGGAAAACUUGCGAAUUUGGGUGCCAAAGUCCUACCUGUGGCCCCAAAACCAGUAGCUAAAAAUAUUGGGUUGCCAUGGAGGGCGCCACUGACGUGAAUUUUCUCCAAUUUAUCUAGUGACAAAGUUAUUUCGACCCUAGACCUACCCAACAUGUAUAAAAGGAAUCCAACCCUAUUUUGGAGGGGGAGAAUAUUUUUUGAGAAGAAAAACACAAGCACAGAGCCGUCGUGGAGGCUGGAAUUCAUCAAAUUCCAUCUUUCUUCCCACAAACUUAGUAAUUUUUAUGUUUUUUUUAUAUGAUUUGUUGUUUUUCUGUCAUGUCUAUAUGGAGCUAAACUUCACGUUCUAGGGUUGUGGUUCUUUCAUGACUAUUGUUAUUCAGAUAUUGAUUUUGAUUUCUUAGUUUAUAAUAUUGAUUUGUUUAUUCAAUCCCG
This 1739-nucleotide long non-coding RNA is filed under the name Nicotiana benthamiana. Its description in RNAcentral is "long non-coding RNA (NBEN_LNC021339)". The record is from RNAcentral. Lineage: Eukaryota; Viridiplantae; Streptophyta; Magnoliopsida; Solanales; Solanaceae.